RNAcentral lists this ribosomal RNA (253 nucleotides) under uncultured bacterium. Its description in RNAcentral is "partial 16S ribosomal RNA". It matches the Rfam family "Bacterial small subunit ribosomal RNA", at positions 524 to 776 of the family's 1533-position model. The record is from RNAcentral.
UACGAAGGGGGCUAGCGUUGCUCGGAAUCACUGGGCGUAAAGCGCACGUAGGCGGCUUUCUAAGUCAGGGGUGAAAUCCUGGAGCUCAACUCCAGAACUGCCUUUGAUACUGUAGAGCUUGAGUCCGGAAGAGGUGAGUGGAACUCCGAGUGUAGAGGUGAAAUUCGUAGAUAUUCGGAAGAACACCAGUGGCGAAGGCGGCUCACUGGUCCGGUACUGACGCUGAGGUGCGAAAGCGUGGGGAGCAAACAGG